RNAcentral lists this ribosomal RNA (750 nucleotides) under uncultured Enhydrobacter sp. Its description in RNAcentral is "bacterial SSU rRNA". It matches the Rfam family "Bacterial small subunit ribosomal RNA", at positions 28 to 776 of the family's 1533-position model. Lineage: Bacteria; Pseudomonadati; Pseudomonadota; Alphaproteobacteria; Hyphomicrobiales. The record is from RNAcentral.
AUUGAACGCUGGCGGCAGGCUUAACACAUGCAAGUCGAACGAUGAAACUCUAGCUUGCUAGAGAUGAUUAGUGGCGGACGGGUGAGUAACAUUUAGGAAUCUGCCUAGUAGUGGGGGAUAGCUCGGGGAAACUCGAAUUAAUACCGCAUACGACCUACGGGUGAAAGGGGGCGCAAGCUCUUGCUAUUAGAUGAGCCUAAAUCAGAUUAGCUAGUUGGUGGGGUAAAGGCCCACCAAGGCGACGAUCUGUAACUGGUCUGAGAGGAUGAUCAGUCACACCGGAACUGAGACACGGUCCGGACUCCUACGGGAGGCAGCAGUGGGGAAUAUUGGACAAUGGGGGCAACCCUGAUCCAGCCAUGCCGCGUGUGUGAAGAAGGCCUUUUGGUUGUAAAGCACUUUAAGCAGGGAGGAGAGGCUAAUGGUUAAUACCCAUUAGAUUAGACGUUACCUGCAGAAUAAGCACCGGCUAACUCUGUGCCAGCAGCCGCGGUAAUACAGAGGGUGCGAGCGUUAAUCGGAAUUACUGGGCGUAAAGCGAGUGUAGGUGGCUCAUUAAGUCACAUGUGAAAUCCCCGGGCUUAACCUGGGAACUGCAUGUGAUACUGGUGGUGCUAGAAUAUGUGAGAGGGAAGUAGAAUUCCAGGUGUAGCGGUGAAAUGCGUAGAGAUCUGGAGGAAUACCGAUGGCGAAGGCAGCUUCCUGGCAUAAUAUUGACACUGAGAUUCGAAAGCGUGGGUAGCAAACAGG